GCGUGCGUGGCCAGCGGUCGAGCGGGUUGAGCUGCUGCUUCCCUAGCCCUUGCCUGGGCGCAGGGAGCCGCUUCGCGUCGUCCGGCUGUCUCUCCUUUCCCCUGUUACCUUCAAAGUAAUCUUCUGGCUGCCUUAGAACUAAAAUUAACACUCAUAACCUAGAGAAGUGAGUGGCACAUGGAGAUUCAGAGGACAGUGUUAGUUUAGAGGUAGAGAAGCAGGAAAAGCCAAAUAAACGCUACCUAAAUCACAAAGGAAAUGGAGCAAGAGACUCCAGAGAAGGUGGACUCUGCACAGGAGAAGGUCAGAGGCAAGUCCCAGCCAGCAGAUGACUCGGAGGACAGCCGAGAAAAGGCUGGGACAGAAGGGACGGGAGAACUGACCGAAGCCUAUGAGCUGCAGGUAGCUGAAGAAAUGGCAAAAGAGAUCAAGAAAACUGCUGGAGCCCACAGCCCUCGGCACCAGAGUGUCUCCUACCAGUGCCAGGGGCAUUGCUGUGCGUGUGCGUGUGGGUGCCCGGUGCAGCAGGGCCAGGCAGCUCAGUUCCUCUGAACAUGUUUUGUUUCUGUCUUGUGAAUGUGCUGUUG
This 587-nucleotide long non-coding RNA is filed under the name Rattus norvegicus (Norway rat). Its description in RNAcentral is "long non-coding RNA NONRATT000067". The record is from RNAcentral. Lineage: Eukaryota; Metazoa; Chordata; Mammalia; Rodentia; Muridae.